AUGGCGCUCUACGCGGUGGUGCCAGACUCCCAGAUACGGGACGCAACCGUGGAGAGGUUCCUCAAAGAGAUCGCCGGGGAGAAGCCCAUCCGGUUCACCCCGCAGCAGCUCUCGGGCUUCACAGACAACUAUUCCACCCGACUCGGCGCCGUCUACAUGGGCAUGCUGCCCAACGGCCUCGCGGUCGCCGUGAAGCGCCUCCACCCGGGCCAAGACGACAGGACCUCGCAGGAGCAGUUCAUGGCGGAGGUGGGCACCAUCGGGAGGACGCACCACAUCAACCUGGUCAGGCUCGGCUUCUGCUACGACGCCGACGUGCGCGCGCUAAGAGAUGAGAUUUAG
Molecule: ribosomal RNA, 342 nt
Filed under: Triticum aestivum (bread wheat)
Lineage: Eukaryota; Viridiplantae; Streptophyta; Magnoliopsida; Poales; Poaceae
Description: partial small subunit ribosomal RNA
Source: RNAcentral